UAUUGCACAAUGGGGGAAACCCUGAUGCCGCGACGCCGCGUGAGUGAAGAAGUGUUUUGGUGUGUAAAACUCUAUCAGCAGGGAAGAAAAUGACGGUACCUGAUUAAGAAGCCCCGGCUAACUACGUGCCAGCAGCCGCGGUCAUACGUAGGGGGCACGCGUUAUCCGGAUUUACUGGGUGUAAAGGGAGCGUAGACGGCAGCACAAGUCUGGAGUGAAAUGCCGGGGCUUAACCCCGGAACUGCGUUGGAAACUGUGCAGCUAGAGUGCAGGAGAGGUAAGUGGAAUUCCUAGUGUAGCGGUGAAAUGCGUAGAUAUUAGGAGGAACACCAGUGGCGAAGGCGGCUUACUGGACUGUAACUGACGUUGAGGCUCGAAAGCGUGGGGAGCAAACAG
This 396-nucleotide ribosomal RNA is filed under the name uncultured bacterium. Its description in RNAcentral is "bacterial SSU rRNA". It matches the Rfam family "Bacterial small subunit ribosomal RNA", at positions 362 to 775 of the family's 1533-position model. The record is from RNAcentral.